This 150-nucleotide small RNA is filed under the name Chelonoidis abingdonii (Abingdon island giant tortoise). RNAcentral's name for it is "TUC338 (ENSCABG00000014661.1)". Lineage: Eukaryota; Metazoa; Chordata; Testudines; Testudinidae. The record is from RNAcentral.
GUAAAUAUAAUAUACAUUUUAUUUAUCUCCACAGUAUAGCACAGACAGUGUCAGUAUAACUUUCCCCACACAGCUCUAUCAACGGGCCUCAACCCUGACCUUGAAGGAAAGAGCAAUUCAUUGUACAUGCCAAUUCAAUUCUUAGCUUGU